RNAcentral lists this transfer RNA (71 nucleotides) under Caudoviricetes sp. RNAcentral describes it as "tRNA-Ile". It matches the Rfam family "tRNA". Rfam says of the family: Transfer RNA (tRNA) molecules are approximately 80 nucleotides in length. Their secondary structure includes four short double-helical elements and three loops (D, anti-codon, and T loops). The record is from RNAcentral. Lineage: Duplodnaviria; Heunggongvirae; Uroviricota; Caudoviricetes.
GGGCGCUUCGUUCAAUGGCAGGACGGCGUUCUUAUACAGCGCCUACAUUCGUUCGAUUCGGAUAGCGCCUA